Molecule: long non-coding RNA, 983 nt
Filed under: Equus asinus (donkey)
Lineage: Eukaryota; Metazoa; Chordata; Mammalia; Perissodactyla; Equidae
Description: lncRNA (ENSEASG00005029423.1)
Source: RNAcentral
GGAGAGGGCAAAGGAAGAGGAGCAUAUGCUGCGCCUCCAAGAGAUUUCACCUGGGGAGGGGGAUGAUUUCAAAAUAAGAAGACUGACAUUAACUUUUCAUUUGAAGAUGUCUGAAAAUGGGAGGCUUACAAAUUAAUCCCCCCUCAGUGGGGAGUGAAGGAACCAGAUUGAGGUGUGCCUUGUCAAAAGAAGGGACCCUGCCUCAUUCCCUGUGCUCUGGAGGUGUGAAGAGCAUUCUAUGUCUGUUUCCCGGCCCCUGAAUGGAGAGGCACAGAGGCUAGCAGAGGCGUCAUCCUGGCAUACUGCCCUGGACAGCAGUGCAGAAGUUCUGGAUGCCGAGAAGUCCAAGAUCAAGGUGCCAACAGAUCCAGUAUCUGUCCACAGGACCUGCCCAUCUAAAUCCUAUGAGAACAGCGACGCUCCCAGGCAAACUUGUGAUGGAGAUCUGGCCAGAGCCUGUCUUUCUCUCUUCUUGAUGGAAGACCCUCUUCACCCUAAGAUUCUACUCUGAUCCCAGUGUCUAGCCUUACCAGCUAGCCAUAUUACAACCAUGUAAACUGAGUAAUUUAAUUUCUCUGUGCCUCCAUUUUCAUGUGUGUACAAGAGGACUGACAAUGCCAACAUUUGUUGAACUGUAAUAAUGACGGGGAACAAGCUAUGCAGAACACUUAACAUACAUCUGGCACAAAGUAGGUUGUUAUUUUUCCCAUCCUCAUAGCCUCACUAUCUCAACUAUCUUAUUAGUCAGAAGGCAAAAUUCCCCUCUUUGACAUAUAGACAGCAUAGGCAAGAAUUUAAAUGUUUUCCCUCCCAAGGCAUUUUACUAGCAGCAUCUUGAAAAUCAAAGCACCUUUAAAGACAGAAAGGAAUCCAUUUCUAACAGAAAAAAGUAAAAUUCUCUACCACAAUACGUUAUUAUCCUAAUUAAGAUAUCCCAUGGACCAAAUCCUUUUCCUAAAACAAUGAAAACAGCAUUUUAACUU